ACUUGAAAAAUAUGCACAUAUUAACACUUAACUCAGUUCAUAGCUUCAGGCAGAAACCACUAUGGGCCACCGCGUCGGAAAUCGCGUAUGGCGGUGGUGUCCACCAGAAAUGGAACUUGAUGGCAUCAUUCUACUCGUCUCCUCACGCUCUCCUAGAAUCUCCCCUCAAUUUCCCCAAAUUCUAGCCCUAAAUUCAUAACCGUAUUAAAGUCCUCAAGAACCCUAAAUACUCAAACCUAAAUUAAAUGUUGCCCUCAAAGAAUCAGAGCCCAGGGACUUAGGGCUCUGAUUCCUCAUGCCCUAACUCACAUUCCGGUAUUAAGAAAAUGAAGAAAAAUGAAGACUUUAGAUUUGCCUCUCUUGGAGAAGAACUUUAGAUUUGCCUCUCUCGGAGAAGAAGAUCGAAAAAAACAUCUCCGACAUGCUUUAGGUUUGAUGCAAGUUUUUUCUCGGGUGGUUGAUUGUAGCAGGUCUGGUUGCUCCAACUUGGUUCUACAGGUAUGCUUGUAGGAUGGUUUGUGUGGCAUUUCAUAAUGUAUGUUGCAGGCUCGGGUUUGAUGUCAUGGUGGUGUGAUGGAUGUCAUGUUGUUUUGGCUGAUGCAGAAAGUAAUUGCAUGUCCUUGGUUUUACAGGUCUACUGCCAAGGCUUGACAUUAUUGAAUCCAUUUGAAUGUGUUUGCUGCAACAUGAUGUUGGUGUUUGUAUUAUAGAAUUAUUGUGAGGUUUACAAUGGCUUGGGGAUGUUAACUGUUGCAGGUUUGUUCAUGUGUUGGCGUGCAUUGUAGUGAUUCUUCUUCUGACUUAGGAAUACCUUUCUUUGGUUUUGUAGGUCAUGGUUCAUGAAUAAUGGUAAUUGAGCCAAGGUGUGAAACAUGACCUCAAGAUGAUAUUUUGGAUUAACAUGUGAAAAAGGGAACCUCCAAGAUCAAGGAUCAAAAUAGGAUUUAGGGCAUAGGAUGGAAAUUUAGGGUUCUAGGGGAUUGGGUUGACUUUUAUCAAAGUUGACCAAAAAGUCAACAUUUGGUCAAAGUUCACCUUUUUUGUAUUUUCUCAUGUAAUGACACUUUUAUGAUUUAUGCAAUGGAAUUUGAUGUAUAUGAAA
Long non-coding RNA from Lathyrus oleraceus (garden pea), 1102 nucleotides. RefSeq lists it as uncharacterized. NCBI's taxonomy places the organism in Eukaryota, Viridiplantae, Streptophyta, Magnoliopsida, Fabales, Fabaceae. The record is from RefSeq and is a predicted model, not a curated record. The transcript has 3 exons.